UCUCGUACAUAGUACAUUCUCGUCUCUGUCUCAACUCAACUCAACUCUCAAGUGAAUAAUGUCUCUGUUUGUGGCCUAGACCAAUAGACCACAAAAACUCGAUAGUUGGUUUCCUACUGCAGUUAUGCUCUAAGUGCUCUCCAAGAUAGCAAGACUCCAACUCUCGCUCCUGCAAUCACUGACUCACGCUUGCGAACCUUGUCUCUCGAUUGAUUUCUUCGAAGUUUGAAUCUUCGAUAGCCAUACACACUCAGGUCAGAAUGACGAAGCGGCGACCCCCACCUGUGCCACCUCAAUCUCAACCUCAAGGUCCACCGCAAUCUCAAACUCAAUGUACAGUGUGCAAAAAAUUAUGGCACAACAAAUAUGAGGCAUCAUGUGUUCAACACUUGUUCGGAAUCUCUUGUUAGGAAGGACAAAGGUGAUCCUAAGCAACCAUUGUUGGCAAAUAAUCCCAAAGGUGAGCUUGUUCCUUUGCGUUAUGACAAAGAUUAUGCUAGGAAGAAGUUGACAGAGAUGAUUUUCAUAGAUGAGCUCCCAUUCAAUUUGGUAGAGGGAGCCGGGUUUAAAGCUUUUUGUCAAGCUCUAAACCCAUAAUUUAUUGUUCCUUCUAACAAAAUUGUUGCUCGAGAUGUCAUGAGUUGUUUUCUACAGGAGAAAGCAAAGCUUAAGAGUAUUUUGUGUAUUGGUACAAGAGUGUCUCUCACUACAAACACUUGGACAUCUAUCCAAAAUAUUAAUUACAUGGUGAUCACUACACACUUUAUAGAUGAUGAGUGGAAUUUACACAAA
Tripterygium wilfordii is the source of this 792-nucleotide long non-coding RNA. RefSeq lists it as uncharacterized. The transcript has 2 exons. The record is from RefSeq and is a predicted model, not a curated record. Lineage: Eukaryota; Viridiplantae; Streptophyta; Magnoliopsida; Celastrales; Celastraceae.